CAGGCACCAGUGUUAGAAUGAAUUACUGUGGCUCCUCCUCACAUAGGACCAAUAGCCCUGAGAAUUUAUCUGUGUUACAACCUCAGAGAAUAAAAUCAAUAGCUGAGUAUUAUAAACACUGAGCAGUCCCACGCUGAGGGAUGCUGAAGCAGGCUGCUAACACCUGGAGGGAACUGGCAAACAAUUUUUUUUAACUUUCCAUAUCUCUAGGGUGAAAGAGCAAAGACUUGAAAUAAUAAACAAUGUUUACAGAAGACUUUUCAGUUCCAAUGACCUAAGGUGGAAUUAGAAACACAGUUCAGGACUUGGACAUAAUCACACCUUUUAAUAGCUGCAACAAAAAGGCUAUAGUUACUUUAGCUUUUAGGUCCAAUCUUCAACAAUCUAUAACCAUUUAUGUACAUUUCUGGCUUAAAGAGACCGAUGUUUUACCACCAUGUAUUUUGCCCUCUUAGAAAGCUUCAGAAUCUUCAAAAUUCCUAGGAAAUUGAAUUUUCAGUUUUAUUGAACCCCACUGGUACCCACCAAUUAGAUGCCACUUUACAAUGAAACCACCCUCAAGCUCUUUCAUUUUCAAAUCUUAAUGUGGGAAGCGGAGACUAGAGAACCAAAAUGCGGGAGACACACACCAAAAUAAGGACAUCUCACUUUGGUUAAGCUAAACCAAUGUCCUUCCAACAGCAUCCUUUGGAAAGGUAGUUAAAAAUACAGAUGAAAAGUCAUCUUAUGUACACUCAUGUUAUAUAACAGAAUCAUGUUAUGUUAGGAAUUAUACUGUGUUGGAAUAUUCUUAGCAAUCAAGAAAAAGGUCCAUAACACCACACUUUACAUAGGUAUUUACAAAAUCACCUUUUUAAAGAAAUUGGUAGAGAUCGCAAAGCCUGCCAACCAAAGCAUGAUGGGGCCACAAGUCCAGAAAAGAUGCCUCAUCUGUAGAAUCUUAGCAUCAGCUGAAACCACAAUUCUCUCACUUUAUCCUAGUCUUGAAUUCUGCCUGCUUCUCAGAUAUAGACCCUCUUCUAGCAGGAGGGGUCCUUUGCCUAUUGGGGUCCUUCAAUGGGUUAGUCUUGGUGUCACUCCUCAUGUUAAAAGUGCAACAGCUCUUGAGAUGUUCUUCCACGGUACGGACCCCCUGAGAGUAUGCCAAGCCAUCUGAACCUCAGUAAUACCCCAUAAUUGGAGUCAUCUCCCUAAGGGCAUGUGGGGCUCAUGCACCCUCUACACUAGCUGCCCACAUGGAGAGAUUUUCUUCAGCUGCAUUCAAAAUGGUACACUGAUGUAGAUUUCCAAAGGCUACAGCAGCCUUUGGCUACACGGGCAUGGCUACAUGGACACCCUGUGUGGACUCUUCAGAAUCCGAUCUCUCUCUCCUCCUUGGGACUGGAUCCUCCAAAGCUAUCAUGUCCUCACAUGAA
Molecule: long non-coding RNA, 1415 nt
Filed under: Equus caballus (horse)
Lineage: Eukaryota; Metazoa; Chordata; Mammalia; Perissodactyla; Equidae
Description: lncRNA (ENSECAG00000049742.1)
Source: RNAcentral